RNAcentral lists this ribosomal RNA (492 nucleotides) under uncultured bacterium. RNAcentral describes it as "partial 16S ribosomal RNA". It matches the Rfam family "Bacterial small subunit ribosomal RNA", at positions 29 to 507 of the family's 1533-position model. The record is from RNAcentral.
AGUGAACGCUGGCGGUAGGCCUAACACAUGCAAGUCGAACGGCAGCACAGUAAGAGCUUGCUCUUACGGGUGGCGAGUGGCGGACGGGUGAGGAAUACAUCGGAAUCUACUUUUUCGUGAGGGAUAACGUAGGGAAACUUACGCUAAUACCGCAUACGACCUACGGGUGAAAGCAGGGGAUCUUCGGACCUUGCGCGAUUGAAUGAGCCGAUGUCGGAUUAGCUAGUUGGCGGGGUAAAGGCCCACCAAGGCGACGAUCCGUAGCUGGUCUGAGAGGGUGAUCAGCCACACUGGAACUGAGACACGGUCCAGACUCCUACGGGAGGCAGCAGUGGGGAAUAUUGGACAAUGGGCGCAAGCCUGAUCCAGCCAUACCGCGUGGGUGAAGAAGGCCUUCGGGUUGUAAAGCCCUUUUGUUGGGAAAGAAAAGCAGCAGGUUAAUACCCCGCUGUUCUGACGGUACCCAAAGAAUAAGCACCGGCUAACUUCGUG